Molecule: long non-coding RNA, 262 nt
Filed under: Brassica napus (rape)
Lineage: Eukaryota; Viridiplantae; Streptophyta; Magnoliopsida; Brassicales; Brassicaceae
Description: long non-coding RNA (BNAP_LNC013663)
Source: RNAcentral
AUUCAGUUAUAACAAAACUAUCACAUUGCAUACAAAAUGUGAUCAUAAGCAAAGAAUAAGGCUUUUAAGCAAAAUUUUAGCAUGAAAUGAGUUCUUCAAUUAGUAAGCUCUCUAAUUAAGUUCUCAAACACCCUAACUAACCAAACCAAACCAAACCAAAAUCAUAUGGGAAUAAAGCAAUUUCGAAAAAUUCCCAAAUCUCAUGAACCCUAAUUUCUCAAAGUUCAAAUUCAACUCAAUUUCACCAUAGAAUCAACAACCC